CCUACGGGAGGCAGCAGUGGGGAAUUUUGGACAAUGGGCGCAAGCCUGAUCCAGCUAUUCCGCGUGUGGGAUGACGGCCCUCGGGUUGUAAACCACUUUAGUAGAGAACGUAAAGGAGCUAUCGAAUAAAUAGCUCUGCUUACGGUACUCUAAGAAUAAGCACCGGCUAACUACGUGCCAGCAGCCGCGGUAAUACGUAGGGUGCGUGCGUUAAUCGGAAUUACUGGGCGUAAAGGGUGUGCAGGUGGCUGAAUAAGAUAGAUGUGAAAUCGCCGGGCUUAACCCGGGAAUCGCAUAUGUUACUGCUUGACUAGAGAGCGUAAGAGGGAGGUGGAAUGCGGCGUGUAGCAGUGAAAUGCGUAGAUAU
RNAcentral lists this ribosomal RNA (367 nucleotides) under uncultured bacterium. RNAcentral describes it as "partial 16S ribosomal RNA". It matches the Rfam family "Bacterial small subunit ribosomal RNA", at positions 338 to 697 of the family's 1533-position model. The record is from RNAcentral.